CUAGAGCCCCUUAAGCAGGUAUGUACUACACUUAACAAGAAGGCAUGCCAAUAUGAGUAUGACCAGCCAAUUCCAAUACGAAGUACAGUUUCAAGUCAGCUAAAAGUAAGAGUACAGUUUCAGGUUGGAACAGAGUGGAAAGUAGUAGUACUCUUGGAUCCAAGAGUUCAGUACAAGGUAUAGUGAGGUUUGCUAAACAACACACAACACACAAAUCCUCUCCAUUGAAAACAUCAACUAAUUUUGUUGGGUAGCACUCUAAUUAGUAAAAAUGAAAUACAAAAAAAAUCUGUGAAGCAUCCUGUAAACAUGGAAGUGAUUAGCUGUUUAAACCAGCAACUGAUACUAAAAAACUAAGUAGCUUGCAC
RNAcentral lists this long non-coding RNA (368 nucleotides) under Brachypodium distachyon (stiff brome). RNAcentral describes it as "long non-coding RNA (BDIS_LNC003345)". Lineage: Eukaryota; Viridiplantae; Streptophyta; Magnoliopsida; Poales; Poaceae. The record is from RNAcentral.